Molecule: long non-coding RNA, 595 nt
Organism: Onychomys torridus (southern grasshopper mouse)
Lineage: Eukaryota; Metazoa; Chordata; Mammalia; Rodentia; Cricetidae
Exons: 3
Source: RefSeq, a predicted model, not a curated record
GCUGGGGAGCUGGUUCCUAGAGUGUGGGGGUGGCUCCCCUUCCUCUUCUUCCUAGAAAGAUGGGUUUCAGCUGUUUUCCCAAGACUCCUGAUAACCUCCCUAAGUAUAAUUUACAUUCCUUGCAGAAAACCCCACCCCCACCCCCAGCCCGAAACCCAGAGUUCUAGUGUGUGUUCUGCCGAUCUGUUUCCCUGAGCACUUUAUAGCCUUCUUUUUAAAACAUAAUAACAAGCUGAUGUGUAGUUCUGAGUGAGGGAAUGGACUAAGUGCUUUGUGCAGAUGACCUCGGGCUGCAUAUUCAGUAUGACAAGGACUGAUUCAUGGCUCAGCCACAGGAGUCGGACAUUGCCUCAUGCUGGUGGUGAGGCAUGGGACUUUUGUUAGGCCAAGUUUAGACGGGAGCUCCAAGGCACAAGGGACGACUGGGAAAACGGUGCUGGAAGAAAGAACUCUGAUCUUGCGUCUUCAUUGGCUGGCAGAUGCAUCAGUUGAGUGGCAAAGGACAUUUCUGUUGGGGUACACUAUACUUCUCAAUUCUGUAGUAUGUGGAAAGUGAACAUCACACUGAUAACCUAAUUCAGUUCUGAACAAUGGC